Molecule: ribosomal RNA, 497 nt
Filed under: uncultured bacterium
Lineage: Bacteria
Description: partial 16S ribosomal RNA
Rfam family: Bacterial small subunit ribosomal RNA
Source: RNAcentral
GAUGAACGCUGGCGGCGUGCCUAAUACAUGCAAGUCGAGCGAACAGACGAGGAGCUUGCUCCUCUGACGUUAGCGGCGGACGGGUGAGUCACACGUGGAUAACCUACCUAUAAGACUGGGAUACCUUCGGGAAACCGGAGCUCAUACCGGAUAAUAUAUUGAACCGCAUGGUUCAAUAGUGAAAGCCGGUUUUGCUGUCACUUAUAGAUGGAUCCGCGCCGCAUUAGCUAGUUGGUAAGGUAACGGCUUACCAAGGCAACGAUGCGUAGCCGACCUGAGAGGAUGAUCGGCCACACUGGAACUGAGACACGGUCCAGACUCCUACGGGAGGCAGCAGUAGGGAAUCUUCCGCAAUGGGCGAAAGCCUGACGGAGCAACGCCGCGUGAGUGAUGAAGGUCUUCGGAUCGUAAAACUCUGUUAUUAGGGAAGAACAAAUGUGUAAGUAACUAUGCACGUCUUGACGGUACCUAAUCAGAAAGCCACGGCUAACUACGUG